AGUUUCCUACGGGGGGCAGCAGUGGGGAAUAUUGGGCAAUGGGCGCAAGCCUGACCCAGCAACGCCGCGUGAAGGAAGAAGGUUUUCGGAUCGUAAAGCUCUGUUGUAAGUCAAGAACGGGUGUGAGAGUGGAAAGUUCACACUGUGACGGUAGCUUACCAGAAAGGGACGGCUAACUACGUGCCAGCAGCCGCGGUAAUACGUAGGUCCCGAGCGUUGUCCGGAUUUAUUGGGCGUAAAGCGAGCGCAGGCGGUUUGAUAAGUCUGAAGUUAAAGGCUGUGGCUCAACCAUAGUUCGCUUUGGA
RNAcentral lists this ribosomal RNA (305 nucleotides) under uncultured bacterium. Its description in RNAcentral is "bacterial SSU rRNA". It matches the Rfam family "Bacterial small subunit ribosomal RNA", at positions 333 to 630 of the family's 1533-position model. The record is from RNAcentral.